CCUACGGGAGGCUGCAGUGGGGGAUAUUGCACAAUGGCGGGAACCCUGAUGCAGCGACGCCGCGUGAGCGAUGGAGUACUUCGGUAUGUAAAGCUCUGUCAGCAGGGAAGAAAAUGACGGUACCUGACCAAGAAGCCCCGGCUAAAUACGUGCCAGCAGCCGCGGUAAUAAGGAGGGGGCCAGCGUUAUCCGGAUUUACUGGGUGUAAAGGGAGCGUAGGCGGGAGGGCAAGCCUGAUGUGAAAGCCCGGGGCUUAACCCCGGGACUGCAUUGGGAACUGCCCUGCGUGAGUGGCGGAGGGGCAGGCGGAAUGCGUAGUGUAGCGGUGAAAUGCGUAGAUAUUAGGAGGAACACCAGUGGCGAAGGCGGCCUGCUGGACGGUGACUGACGCUGAGGCUCGAAAGCGUGGGGAGCAAACAGGAUUAGAUACCCUGGUAGUC
This 440-nucleotide ribosomal RNA is filed under the name uncultured bacterium. Its description in RNAcentral is "partial 16S ribosomal RNA". It matches the Rfam family "Bacterial small subunit ribosomal RNA", at positions 338 to 795 of the family's 1533-position model. The record is from RNAcentral.